This 252-nucleotide ribosomal RNA is filed under the name uncultured bacterium. RNAcentral's name for it is "partial 16S ribosomal RNA". It matches the Rfam family "Bacterial small subunit ribosomal RNA", at positions 524 to 776 of the family's 1533-position model. The record is from RNAcentral.
GACGAACCGUACGAACGUUAUUCGGAAUCACUGGCUUAAAGGGUGCGUAGGCGGCGCGACAAGUUGGGUGCGAAAUCCCUCGGCUCAACCGAGGAACUGCGCCCAAAACUGUCGUGCUCGAGGGAGACAGAGGUGAGCGGAACUUAGGGUGGAGCGGUGAAAUGCGUUGAUAUCCUAAGGAACACCGGUGGCGAAAGCGGCUCACUGGGUCUCUUCUGACGCUGAGGCACGAAAGCUAGGGUAGCGAACGGG